AGCAAUUCUGAUAACCAUGGGUAAUUAUAAAGGUCGUCAACAAUAGAUAAACAAUUCAACUUAUAACUUGACAAAGUAUAGUUGGAAAUUCAUCUAUCCAUACAAAGUGUUUUUGUAUCAGUACAGCAUCAUUAUUAACCAUGGAAUUUAUAGCUGAAGAUCUUGAAAAAGACGGAUUCACUCUGAUAGAAAAUCUGUUCACACCCGAAGAAUGUAAUGAAAUGGUCGACGAAAUAAGACAGAUAAUAAAAAAUACCAAUGAUGCAACAAAGAAAGUAGUAUUUAAAGCUUCAACACAAAACGAUGCACCACAGUCGAAAGAAAAAUAUUUCUUAGAUAGCUCUCAUAAAAUAAGCUUCUUCUACGAAGAAGGAUCUGUGGACACUAAUGGAAAGCUCACUGUUGAUGAGGAGUAUUUGGGCCUCAACAAAAUUGGACAUGCCUUACAUUUCCUCAAUCCAGUAUUCAAAAAAUAUACAUUUGACGAAAGAAUAAAAAAUAUUUGCCGAAAAUUAAAUCUAAUUGACCCCAAAAUAUGUCAAAGCAUGUUCAUAUUCAAAAACCCCAGGAUAGGGGGUGAAGUUGCCCCCCACCAAGACGCAUCAUAUUUAUACACUUCCCCACAAAAUCUUUAUGGAAUUUGGAUUGCUCUUGAAGAUGCCACCAUAGAAAAUGGAUGUCUCUGGUUUCAAAAAGGUUCUCAUAAAGGUCCUCUCUUUAGACGAUUCAUAAAAAAUCCAGAUAAAACAUCGGGUACCCUCACAAUUUACACUGGAGAAAAUUUAAACUUCAAAGAAACAGACUUUGCUCCCGUAGCAGUUAAGAAAGGAACCUGUGUGGUCAUUCACGGAAAAGUAUUGCACUUCAGCAAGCCUAAUACCUCACAACUAUCAAGAAAUAUUUACACUUUCCACAUAUAUGAAGGGCACAAGACGACAUUUUCUGAGGAGAAUUGGACACAACCUCCAUAUCUAUCAAUAUUUUAAAAUUGAAUAAAUAUUAACCAGAUAUAUGUGAAGAAUAAAGUGCUUUCAUUGCUAUUAGCUUGAUUCAAAUUAUCAAUUUCAACAACCAACAUGAAAUGAACAUUUCUAUUUUGUUACGUAUGAAAUAGUUGAGAACAUCAGUAGAAUUAUAUUGUUGAGUUUCAAAUAAUCGGUUUGAAUUGGGAUUAGCAUCACUACUCAUGCAAAUACUAAUGAAAACAAAAACAUUUAAUUAA
This is an RNA transcript of Harmonia axyridis, 1222 nucleotides long. It is a transcript of the gene named phytanoyl-CoA dioxygenase domain-containing protein 1-like, with no coding region annotated. NCBI's taxonomy places the organism in Eukaryota, Metazoa, Arthropoda, Insecta, Coleoptera, Coccinellidae. The record is from RefSeq and is a predicted model, not a curated record. The transcript has 6 exons.